This 70-nucleotide transfer RNA is filed under the name pig gut metagenome. It matches the Rfam family "tRNA", at positions 6 to 65 of the family's 71-position model. From Rfam's summary of the family: Transfer RNA (tRNA) molecules are approximately 80 nucleotides in length. Their secondary structure includes four short double-helical elements and three loops (D, anti-codon, and T loops). Further hydrogen bonds mediate the characteristic L-shaped molecular structure. tRNAs have two regions of fundamental functional importance: the anti-codon, which is responsible for specific mRNA codon recognition, and the 3' end, to which the tRNAs corresponding amino acid is attached (by aminoacyl-tRNA synthetases). tRNAs cope with the degeneracy of the genetic code in two manners: having more than one tRNA (with a specific anti-codon) for a particular amino acid; and 'wobble' base-pairing, i.e. permitting non-standard base-pairing at the 3rd anti-codon position. The record is from RNAcentral.
CUCAUAGCUCAGCUGGUUAGAGCACACGCCUGAUAAGCGUGAGGUCGGUGGUUCGAAUCCACUUGUGCCC